This 253-nucleotide ribosomal RNA is filed under the name uncultured bacterium. Its description in RNAcentral is "partial 16S ribosomal RNA". It matches the Rfam family "Bacterial small subunit ribosomal RNA", at positions 524 to 776 of the family's 1533-position model. The record is from RNAcentral.
UACGUAGGUGGCAAGCGUUGUCCGGAUUUAUUGGGUUUAAAGGGUGCGUAGGCGGCCUUAUAAGUCAGUGCUGAAAUAUCCCGGCUUAACCGGGAGAGUGGCAUUGAUACUGUAGGGCUUGAGUGUAGUCGAGGUAGGCGGAAUUGACGGUGUAGCGGUGAAAUGCUUAGAUAUCGUCAAGAACACCGAUAGUGUAGACAGCUUACUAGGCUACAACUGACGCUGAGGCACGAAAGUGUGGGGAGCAAACAGG